This 580-nucleotide long non-coding RNA is filed under the name Androctonus crassicauda. The record is from RNAcentral. Lineage: Eukaryota; Metazoa; Arthropoda; Arachnida; Scorpiones; Buthidae.
GGCUGGCAAACACCCAUAAUGGGAUCAACAGGAUGGUUAAAGGAUGGGUUUGAAUGGGCCCGGACCCAUCCUGAUAAACUGGAGGUAUGGGACCAGGAUUUGAAGCCAGGGGUAGUAAACCACAGCUUUACCAGGCGACCAUCCGGCCGAUUUUAUUCCACUCAAAAAUGGGAUAUGGAAUCUUUUAAGUAUUUAAUUCUCGCUGAAGUGGGUAUGGCUAGCAAUCUUAUGAAGAGUAUAGAUAAUUAAAAUUGUAAUUCUUUUCAUAAGAUUUUCAAUUCAUGGAAUGACAAUAGUCACUUCAAUGUAAAUUCAUGCAGGUUGUUAUGAAGAAUAUUAUCAAUUCACUAAAAUGGCGAUACUCUUCGUAAGAUAUAUUGUCAAGUGAUGGAAUGGCAUCUUCUCUUCGAUGUAAAUAGGAAAAUGGAUGUUAAUAGGGUACAGUUACUGAUUUUCCUGGCGAUCAAGAACCAAUAAUAAUCGAAAAAUUCCUCGAUAUUCGAUCUGUUAGUGCUGUGUUUAUUUUUUUGUGAUAAAUGUAAUGGUUUCCAUUGAUUUUGUGUUAAGAACUUAUGCACAA